UUGAUCCUGGCUCAGGAUGAACGCUGGCGGUAUGCUUAACACAUGCAAGUCGAACGGGAUGCUUAGGCAUCUAGUGGCGGACGGGUGAGUAACGCGUGAGAAUCUGGCUCCAGGUCGGGGAUAACAGUUGGAAACGACUGCUAAUACCGGAUGUGCCGAGAGGUGAAAGAUUUAUUGCCUGGAGAUGAGCUCGCGUCUGAUUAGCUAGUUGGUGGUGUAAGGGACCACCAAGGCAUCGAUCAGUAGCUGGUCUGAGAGGAUGAUCAGCCACACUGGGACUGAGACACGGCCCAGACUCCUACGGGAGGCAGCAGUGGGGAAUUUUCCGCAAUGGGCGAAAGCCUGACGGAGCAAUACCGCGUGAGGGAGGAAGGCUCUUGGGUCGUAAACCUCUUUUCUCAAGGAAGAAGAAAGUGACGGUACUUGAGGAAUAAGCAUCGGCUAACUCCGUGCCAGCAGCCGCGGUAAUACGGAGGAUGCAAGCGUUAUCCGGAAUGAUUGGGCGUAAAGGGUCUGCAGGUGGAACUGAAAGUCUGCUGUUAAAGAGUUUGGCUUAACCAAAUAAAAGCGGUGGAAACUACAGAACUAGAGUGUGGUAGGGGCAAAAGGAAUUCCUGGUGUAGCGGUGAAAUGCGUAGAUAUCAGGAAGAACACCGGUGGCGAAAGCGUUUUGCUAGACCAUAACUGACACUGAGGGACGAAAGCUAGGGGAGCGAAUGGGAUUAGAUACCCCAGUAGUCCUAGCCGUAAACGAUGGAUACUAGGCGUGGCUUGUAUCGACCCGAGCCGUGCCGGAGCUAACGCGUUAAGUAUCCCGCCUGGGGAGUACGCACGCAAGUGUGAAACUCAAAGGAAUUGACGGGGGCCCGCACAAGCGGUGGAGUAUGUGGUUUAAUUCGAUGCAACGCGAAGAACCUUACCAAGACUUGACAUCCUGCGAAUCCUGGUGAAAGCUGGGAGUGCCUUAGGGAGCGCAGAGACAGGUGGUGCAUGGCUGUCGUCAGCUCGUGUCGUGAGAUGUUGGGUUAAGUCCCGCAACGAGCGCAACCCUCGUUUUUAGUUGCCAGCAUUAAGUUGGGCACUCUAGAGAGACUGCCGGUGACAAACCGGAGGAAGGUGAGGAUGACGUCAAGUCAGCAUGCCCCUUACGUCUUGGGCUACACACGUACUACAAUGCUACGGACAGAGGGCAGCAAGCCAGGGAUGGCAAGCGAAUCCAGAAACCGUAGCUCAGUUCAGAUCGAAGGCUGCAACUCGCCUUCGUGAAGGAGGAAUCGCUAGUAAUUGCAGGUCAGCAUACUGCAGUGAAUUCGUUCCCGGGCCUUGUACACACCGCCCGUCACACCAUGGAAGUUGGUCACGCCCGAAGUCAUUACCCCAACCGAAAGGAGGGGGAUGCCUAAGGUAGGACUA
RNAcentral lists this ribosomal RNA (1413 nucleotides) under Cylindrospermopsis africana CHAB485. RNAcentral describes it as "bacterial SSU rRNA". It matches the Rfam family "Bacterial small subunit ribosomal RNA". Lineage: Bacteria; Bacillati; Cyanobacteriota; Cyanophyceae; Nostocales; Aphanizomenonaceae. The record is from RNAcentral.